CCUACGGGAGGCAGCAGUGAGGAAUAUUGGUCAAUGGGCGCAAGCCUGAACCAGCCAAGUCGCGUGAGGGAUGACGGUCCUAUGGAUUGUAAACCUCUUUUGUCGGGGAGUAAGGCCCGCCACGUGUGGCGGGAAGGAGAGUACCCGAAGAAAAAGCCCCGGCUAACUACGUACCAGCAGCCGCGGUAAUACGUAGGGGGCAAGCGUUAUCCGGAUUUACUGGGUGUAAAGGGAGCGUAGACGGCAGGGCAAGUCUGGCGUGAAAGGCAGGGGCCCAACCCCUGGACUGCACUGGAAACUGGCCGGCUGGAGUGCAGGAAAGGUAAGUGGAAUUCAUGGUGUAGCGGUGAAAUGCGUAGAUAUUAGGAGGAACACCAGUGGCGAAGGCGGCUUACUGGACUGUAACUGACGUUGAGGCUCGAAAGCGUGGGGAGCAAACAGGAUUAGAUACCCGAGUAGUC
RNAcentral lists this ribosomal RNA (461 nucleotides) under uncultured bacterium. RNAcentral describes it as "partial 16S ribosomal RNA". It matches the Rfam family "Bacterial small subunit ribosomal RNA", at positions 338 to 795 of the family's 1533-position model. The record is from RNAcentral.